UCCAGACUCCUACGGGAGGCAGCAGUGAGGAAUAUUGGUCAAUGGGCGAGAGCCUGAACCAGCCAAGUCGCGUGAAGGAUGAAGGAUCUAUGGUUUGUAAACUUCUUUUAUAUGGGAAUAAAGUGAGGAACGUGUUCCUUUUUGUAUGUACCAUAUGAAUAAGCAUCGGCUAACUCCGUGCCAGCAGCCGCGGUAAUACGGAGGAUGCGAGCGUUAUCCGGAUUUAUUGGGUUUAAAGGGUGCGUAGGUGGUUAAUUAAGUCAGCGGUGAAAGUUUGUGGCUCAACCAUAAAAUUGCCGUUGAAACUGGCGUUCUUGAGUGGGCGAGAAGUAUGCGGAAUGCGUGGUGUAGCGGUGAAAUGCAUAGAUAUCACGCAGAACUCCGAUUGCGAAGGCAGCAUACCGGCGCCCAACUGACGCUGAAGCACGAAAGCGUGGGUAUCGAACAGGAUUAGAUACCCCAGUA
RNAcentral lists this ribosomal RNA (465 nucleotides) under uncultured bacterium. RNAcentral describes it as "bacterial SSU rRNA". It matches the Rfam family "Bacterial small subunit ribosomal RNA", at positions 330 to 792 of the family's 1533-position model. The record is from RNAcentral.